Molecule: long non-coding RNA, 19139 nt
Filed under: Homo sapiens (human)
Lineage: Eukaryota; Metazoa; Chordata; Mammalia; Primates; Hominidae
Description: long non-coding RNA NONHSAT216447.1
Source: RNAcentral
AGAAGACCACUGUUAACCAUAUGCAAUCAUUCUUGUCUCUUUAUUGUGUACUUUGUGCAUUUUUAUACAAAUUAAGUUCAUACAAAACAUACUACUUGUAUCAUUUGUCUAACAUAGCAAUAUAUUACUAUCAUCUUUCUAUCAUUCAAUGUUCCUAAAUGAAAUCAUUUAUAAGGAAUGUAGAAUAUUGUUUUCAAAUGACUAAGAUGAAGAGAGUGAACGAAUUAAUGUAUUGAGGACCCUAAAAGUUAGAUAUUAUAAUGCCCAUUUUAAAGAUGUGAAAAUGAAGGUAAGUGAGCAGCCAGUUAACUGUAGAACAGAGAUGCCCACCAGGUCUGCGUGGUUUCAGGCCUAAACUCCUUCUCCCUUACCCGUGUUUCCUCCGCAUGCCUUGUCAUAAGACUCACCUUGGAAAUCUGCAUUAUCAACAUGUAAUACAUUUUAUUAUAAACUGAAUUCCAAUUGAGAACCUACAAAAAGCUACCUGAGGUCAGAUCAUGAUUCAGAAGAAACAAGUUAACAAGAUUGUGCCUCUGAUGGAGCCCAGACAUGGUCAGAUAUGGUUUCUCACAACCUUACAUGUCAAGAGGAAAGAAUUCCAGACUAGAUGUCAGGAGAUCCGGGUUGUAUUCUCACCUCCUCCAGUCACCAGCCAAAAAGUCAUGGCCACAUCAUUCAAUUUAUCUGGGCCUCAGUUUUCUAAUCUAUAUAUUGGGAUAACACAACCUUCCCUGUCAAGCUGAAUAGAUUCUAAAUAGCAAAGGAAAUAAUGAAGCAAUAUACAAACAUAAGAGACCUUUAUGAAUCCUACUACAGAUCCAUCAGCGGUGAAUUUUCCAGCCCUCUAAAACACAUCAAAGAAUUGUAAACAGAGAAGGAAACUCUGAGCCCAACUAAUUUUAGAGACAGAGAGACUGACUUCCUGAGAAGGUAGGCAGCUUGCCCAAAGAUUCAGAGUGAGUUAGGAACCCAGCUAACACUAGAAGCCAGUGUCUGGAUUCACACAGGAAUAUUCCUUUUAUAAGACCACCUUUACGGUGAUAAAUGUCCCAGACGCGUUCACAUAAACACGUUGACAGCAAUUCAGUUUAGUUCCGUUUAUUUCAGUUAAGUAAAGAUAAGCUGAGCAUUUGUUUGCCAUGUACAAUGACCUCUUCAGUCAAGGAAUUCCAGCUCUUGUUUUUGUCUUAACUUCUUUCAACUUUGAGGGUUUCUUUGCAUGUUCCUUACCUAACAAGACCAGCCUGAAAAGAGUAGAAAAAAACAUAAAGAAACUUGGAGUCUGAAUUUUCCACAUGCUGGGAGCUCUCACACCCAAUUCCAGAUACAGCACUCUCCUGAAUGUGACCUGAAGUGGUUUCCUCAAUUGAUCACAUCCCAGGAAUCUGGAGAGCUUCCAGGGCAGGGAAAAUUAGUUACAGAGUCACAGAGUGGUGCGGCCUGUCACAUGAAAGUCACUUCCAGCUUGGAACGGAUUGCACAUUCCUGCCUUCUGAGUGGUGUUUCAGAUGACUGGGAUCUGGCCUGUCUGCAGACAGGCCCCAAAGCAGCAGAAGGAAGCCAGCGGGCAGGGGCAUUCCAACACCGUUCCCGAGACCCGCAGUCACAGGAAAGGAGAACUUCCUGAGGCUCCUCCAAGCCUUGCCUCAACUUAAUGGUGUUUGAGAAAAACAUCAAGUUUCCAUUUACCUCCAUUUUGAAACACUGAAAGCAUUUGUCAUUAAAUAGCAUGAUGACUCUCCUGCCUCAACUCAGAGCUUUGUCAAACUGCUCACAUGGCAUAAACAAGGAUGAUGGGGUUUCCUACACAUAUAUCAGAACUUCUAAAUGCUUCUUAUAUGCCAAGUACCAUUAUAUACCAUGCCUUGGCUCAUCUAAUCCUUACAGACAACCUCAGGAGAGAGGUGCUCUAUAUCACUACCACAGCCAAGGAACCUGGGGCUCAGGAUGGUUAAGUAACUUGUACAAGGUCAAAAAUUGGCAAAUGACAAUGCACGAACUUAACACAGAUCUGUCUGACUCCAAAUCCCAGGUCUACACUGGCUGGAUAAAUAUGAGGCAGAGGCCACAUGUAGUAGCUCACGCCUGUAAUCCCAGCACCUUGGAAGGCCGAGGCGAGUGGCUAACCUGAGGUCAGGAGUUCAAGACUAGCUUGGCCAACAUGGUGAAACCCCGUCUCUACUAAAAAUACAAAAACUAGCUGAACGUGGUGGUGCAUGCCUGUAAUCCCAGCUACUUGGGAGACUGAGACAGGAGAAUUGCUUGAACCCGGGAGGCGGAGGUUGCAGUGAGCCAAGAUCGCACCAUUGCACUCCAGCCUGGGCGACAAAAGCGAAACUCCAUCUCAGUAAAAAAAUAGGUAUAUAUGAGGCAGAAUGACUUUCAAAUAAUACACAAUGGUUUCAGAAUCUGGCCUCUGUUUUGUUGAUUGCAAGGCCCUGUCAUAUUUCCAAGUCACCUAUUGCUGGGUUUCACAGCUUUAAUGGUUUGAAAAGUCUUCCUUAUGUCAAAAUGUUUCAACAGGCUUCGUUCCCGCCCUCUGCACCCCACAGUCCUCUUCCUUCCCAAACUCUCCUCUGAGAAGUCUGUCUCAUCCCCCAUUCCCAUGAAAUACAUCUGCUGACAUCACAAAGGGAUUCUUGUCUAACUUCCAUCUCUCUAAUUGAAGUUUAAGCAAAAUGUUUCUUGACCUAAUCCAAGUAAAAGAGCAUGAUUGUCCUCUAUUUCAUGUUAUUCUCACAGUUACAAUAUGUGCUUACAUCUGCUGGUGCAAAAUAUGAUUAACUUUUUUUUUCUAAAACCCUAGGGCUAGGAGGAGCUUGGAAAUUCUAUCUUUUACUUCCCCUUGCCUUCAGACCGAUCCCUGUAUGUCAACAAAACAUGAAAACACCCUGUGAAAUCCAUUAGUAGCCUCACUUUAUAUACUAGGAAAUCGAGGCAGGGUGAUGGAUCUGAAGUCCCUCAAGCAGAUUGUGGCUAGAGCAAGAAGGGAAGCAUGGACCUGGGUCUCUCAGAGGAAUCCCUGUCUUCCCAUACAGCCUUUUUCCAUAGCAUCUAUGCACUAACUAUAAGCUAUCGACCCUAUAAAGGUCCACGGACAUAUGAGAACAUUAUCUUCUUCCAGGCAUUCAGUUUCAUUUAUCCGACAUUUCCUGCACUAUCCUAAAGAUAUAGAGGCAGGUAGAUUAAUUCACUAUGCCCUAGAAGUCCUGGUCAAGGUCUCAGAAUCAAGAACUACCUCUCUAACAGACAGGCAUUGAGCACCCUCUGUAGGCAAGGCAGAGUCUUGCAAGCUGGCACCAAUGAUUGUCCUGCAUCUGCCUGGUCCACAUACUCCCUGGACGUCUGUGUGACAGGCUCUGUAGAAGACAAGCAUAAAGCAGACCUGAGGGUGAGUCCCAGCCCAGCUCUGCCACUCACCAGCGGUGUGGCCAUGGGCAGGUUACCUCCAUGGACUAGACCUGGGCUUUCUCAUCUUUAAGUUGGUGUUAAUAACAAGUUGGGGUUAAAUGCUGUCCCUCACUCAAUACCUGUGUCCACAUCUUAAUCCUUAGGACCUCUGAACGUGACCAUAUUUGAUAAAAAGGUCUUGGCAGAUGUAAUUAUGUAAAGGUUCUUGAGAUGAGAUCAUCCUAUAUUAUCUAGGUUGUCUCUAAAUCCAGUGACAAAUGUCCUUAUGACCGCAGAAAGACAGACACCAGGAGAAGAAGAAAAGUCCACGCAAAGAAAGAUGAAGGUAGAGGUAGGAGUUAUCCAGCCACAAGCCACAGAAUGCCUGGAACCUCCCUAAGCUGAAAGAGGCUAAGACAAAGUCCCCUCUAGAGCCAUCAGAGUGAGUGUGGCCCUGCCAGCACCUUGAGUUUGUACUCUGGCCUCCAGGACUCUAAGCAAAAAAAUUUCUGGGGGAUUUUUUAAGCCAUGAAGCUUUGUGGUCAUUUGUUAAAACAGCCCUAGGAAACUAGUAUCCACCUAUUUCAUGGUAUGUUAAGCAUGGAACCUAUUCCAGAGUAAGUACUUCAUCAUAUUAUUGGUGUUAUUCUUGCCCUUGCCAUGCUCCAAGUUAACUUAAGACCCCUUUUAUUCUGACGAUACCUCCUGGAGACCACCCACCCAUCCAAAGCUCCAGAAUCAAGGUUUUAGUAUUUUGAUUUGGGGUUGCCUAUUUGUUAGGAGGAGGGGCUGCACAUACCUAUUUCCUAUUUUUCAAAAUAAUAGCCCCAAAUUUUGAUUCAAGUGAAGCUGGAUAGACCCUGAAGGGUGUAUUUGUUAAAAAUUUCACAGCUCAUUCUGACACAAAACUGGUACUGAUAUUCAACCAAUGCACACUGACCAGCAUCCUCUCUGAUUUGUCUGGGACUUGGUCCUUUGGUGAAAUAUUUGCCCUCUCUCCGCACACCAGCACUGCUCUCCCAUCACCACUGACCUGGGGAAAAUCAGCCAAGCUGACUGGUAGGCCCAGAACACAAAGCUGGGGACAAAGCUAGUCCAGAGGGCUUAAAAUGUGUUGGGGAAGCCAGGUUUGCAUGAACAUGUCCCGGGGAACAGAACAGGCAUGGCAGCAUGGAAUGACAGGAAGGACCUGGGCACAGGCCCCUGGUGGCCCAAACUCCUCCAUACAGGACUGUUCUUUUUAUCUGUUGUAUCAACUGGGAAUAUGCAUACAAUUCUUUUUGGAAAAAAAAGUUCUAAAGCAUUCUGAUGAUUUUUUAAAUAAUUAAAAAUUUAAAACCACUGAUAAGACAUACUUAUUUUCUAGGCAAGAAACUGGGUUCCAAAGAGAUUAAGUGACAUGCCCAGGAUCACACAGUGAGGAACUGAUGGCCAAGACCAGAAUCUUGAACUCUGGGUCUUAUCCAGGGCCCGUCAACUCCACCAGUAGCAGCCUCAGCCACCAGCCCCACCACUGAGGCCUCAAAGCACUGAUUUCUCAGGCUCCAGUGCCUCUCUCUAGGUGCAGUAGCCCCCACAUCCCUCAGAAGGUCCAUGCCUGGCAGGGAAGAGGAUGCCUGGGCAAUGCUGUCAGCCUCUCCUUUGGGAAUGGCCUUGGUCUCGGUCUGCACCAAGGCAGCCCAGUUUCUAGGCCAUUGCUGCCAGAGGCGGUGUCGUUGCUUGGGAAAUCUUCCUGCUGAUCAGAACUUCCUCUCCACUGUACCUUUUUCCCUCCUUAGAGCCAACAUCCAGGCCUUAUCUCAGAUGAGGAAAUGUUUAGGGCACAGGACCGUUGAGAUAUUUCUCAGAACACAAAUUACGAGGCACAUGUUUUCACAGAGAAGAAAAUAAGGAGAAGACACACAGUGAUCACCAUGCUGGUUCUGAGAACAAGCCCUUAUCUGCUCUGACCCAGCUCUGGACUCACAGGCUGGUGUCAGCCUCACAACUGGUCAAUGAGGCAGCCAGGAAAAGUCCAAAGCUUUAGGUGGGGGAGUCCAUCGCCCAAAGGCAAAGGUGCAAAAAAUAAACACUUAAGAGAGAGCUGCAGCCUCAAAGCCCUGGGCUGUACCAGGCCGACAUACCACAGCAAAAAGCCUAUGAAGUCCUACAAAAUGUAAGCACCUCACCAAGCUGCUAGCAUGGAGGGAUUGCACAUUAAAACUCUGGUCACGUUACAAAUGUCUGUGCAGGGUCUUCCCGCCAGGAAACCCCAAUGCAGUGAGGAGGAUACUAUGCAUGUUUAAAAAACUAAGCAGUCAUAAGAUUACAGUAAUCAUUCCAAGCAGGACAAAAAGAAAGAAAAGAUGAGGUGAUACAAAGUACUACAUGGUCAAUGAAUGACCAGAUAAAUGAUGGAAUCAAUAAUUACUAGAAGAGUUCAGAGGGAAAAGUUCAGGUAGGAAGGACUAGCUUGGCUUAAUAAUAUCUAUCAUUCAUUAAAUACCUACUAUCUGCCAGAAUUUGAGAAUUUUUCUUUCAAUGACUUCACAAGGUCUGUGUUAAGUAUCUGCACUUCACCAAGGGGAAGGCUGAAAUGUGGAGAAGCCAGGUGACCUCCCACAGUAACUCAGCUGUAGGAACCAGGGUGAGUUCUGUCUCGUUCUCCUGAACAAUUACCUGAGUUUCCUUAGCCAUAGAGGUCCUGAGAAAUUGCUUGAGUUUCCUUAGCAAUAGAGGACAAGGAGAGCUUGGAUAAAGCCAAAAGGAAAGAGAGGGAUCAUUGCAGGCAGGUGAAAGGAGCAGCUGAAAUCACAGAGGCAGGAAAGUCAAAAGCACAUGUGCGGCUGUUAACAGAGAUGAAUUUAGCUAGGGUGGAGGUUUCUGGAAUGGAUAGAACUUAUUGAGUACUUACUGUGCUAAGCAAAGUUCUAAGAACUUUAUAUAGAUAAUCUCAUUUAACCCUCACAAUAACCCUGUGAGGUAUGGAGUAUUAUUAUUCCCAAAGUAUGGAUAAGGAAGUCAAAGCAUAGAGAGGUUAAGUAACUUGCCCAAGAUCACAUAGCUGAUAGGCAGCAGAGGUAAGACUUGAACAUAGUCAGGAUUGAAAGUCCAUGCCCUUAAUCACUACAAUGUACUUGAAGGAGUUUGUCAUAGAAAGCUGGAAAAGCUGGAUUCCCUGAGGGGUUGCCUUGAAUGCCAAGUGUUUGCACUUAAUCUUUCUGCAGAAAAAAAAAGGAAUUAUAACGAAAUACCUGUUUCUAUAUAAACAAAGCAAAGCAAGGGCAGAGAAGCUCUCAAGACAAAGUCCAGCCAAAUAAAGGGCUGCAGCCUCCUCACCCCUUGGGGUUCUCUGCAUGUUUCACUUCCACGGCAAUCAUGUGAUCAAAGCAGAAACGUUCUUUUAGUUGUGGUGAGAAAGGUGGACUGGAAGAAGGGAAGAACAGUCGGACGCUAGCGCCAGAGGCAAAGCAGGAAGUGACGAAGGCAUGCAGUACGUGGGAGCUGCAGGAAGGCUGGAACAGUGGAGGUGGAUGGUAGAGCAAUGGAGAAGGAAGGGUCAAAAGGCUUUGAUGAACCAUUAGAGAAAAGUAGUCGUUACUGGUUGUGGCUUAGGUUAACCUACCAUGAACCCAUUUUCUGACCCAAGAACUGGGCUGACAGGUCCCCAUAAGAGUGAGGCAGAAUGUCUGAAGCUAUCUCUGCUCCAGAAAGCCAAGGACAGUCUGUCUUUGUGUUUGUGCCUGUCACCUUCUGCAUGCUUCUGGGAAAGGAGUUCCUUUGACCAAGGAGCCCUCCUGGGGAAGGCCUGUCCAGAGACUUAGAACCAGAAGAAAGACAGGACACUAGGAGAGGCACAGAUCCUCCCAGAGAUCAGCCUUAAGAGCCCCCCCAGACUCUCCUAUGUAGAAAUCUACAUGGGAUUCCCCUGGCAUUUAUGGAGGGCACUUCCUAUUUUAACGAGAUUUCAUAUGUAUUACCAUCCUUGAUUCCAUUCACCCCUUCCAAGAAAAAACAGAGCCAUGGGAGUGUGGGACAAAGAAUGAGCAUUUGUUAGAGGCUGACUCUCUUCCAGGUAGCAUGCUCUGUACUCUCCUGCAGCUGUUUUAGAUCAUCCUCACACUCCGUGGGACAAGCUUUUACUCCCCCCACAUUAAAAAUGAGGACUUGAGCUCCAGUGUGAUGAAAUGACUUCUCAUGAUCAUACAACCAAGAAGGAAUAGGCUAGAGAUGGACACUGCCUUUGCCUUUUCCCUGGGACAGGAAGGCAGACCUAACCUCACCAUCUCACAGGUAAGGAAAUAUUCAAGGCCCCAAAACACCAUGGAGAUCAAUACCAGAGCGAGACUAAAAUCCAGAGCUCACAGUUUCUAGUCCUGUGUUCAUUUUGCGUUUCAUUAUGUUAUUUGAGCACAUUUGUGUUUUGGCAAGUUCAGCUCCUUAAGGAAAGGGUCCAGGUCUUUACAACUUGACAUCCCCACAGUGGCCAACACCAUGGAUGGCCUCUGAAGACAUGAAGCAUGUAUCGCUGAUUUGUGGAAUGAACCAACUGCUAUAACUCAUCUCUUUGGUGCCAACGUCUCACUUCUUCAAUUCAUUCUUCAUGCCACUUCUAAAAGUACGGUGCUAAAGCGUUUCUCCUCUUAUUCAACAAAUGCAAUCCUUUUCCACCUUAAGACUCAGCUCCAGAGCCAUCCUCCCUAUGAAGCCUUCUUCAAUCUCACCGUGAUAAUGCCCUGUCUCUGCCUCUCCCACGCUGCUUGACUAGUCCCUCUGCUAUACAUUCAUGGGCGGCUCCUCCAUGACAUCAUCCAUUCCUUGAGGAACUGUCAGUCAUCUCUGUACUCUGAAUAAACAUUGAUGAGCAAACACAUAAAGGAAUGCAUGAAUGGGUGGAUGGACUCGUUAAUAAAUAAAGACAUAGAGAAAUGACAAGAUGGAGAGGUGAAAUAUUGGGACUUAGUAGUUAAAAGCAGUGGACUUUAUGUCAGAGCAUCCAACCCUACACAGAGCUUUACUCCUGACUUGCUGUGGGAUCUAGAUAAAGUCACCUCCCCUCUCUUGGCCUCUUUUUGCUUGUGUUUUAAAAGAAAGAGUUAGAGUAGAAUUGCUGCAACUCCCCAUUCUCUAAUUCUGUGAAUGAAAAGUUCAUCCUUGGACAAACCCCAUUAACGGAUGUUUUGUAUCUCCUCCCUUGAAAACAACAAUUGUCCCUCGACUAGCAUCUUAUCUGAAGCAAACCUUCUCUGCCUCAUCCCCACCAGAAGCUUUGCUAUCUCUUAAGGGACCUCCUCAGGGUGUUUGUGAACAAAAGCGAGUGUCUUAUCUGGUCACUCUCUCCUGCACUAUCCUGCCCUUGGAAAACAUGAAUGGAUUUGCCGAAAACAUAGCCUCUGAUAGUCUUUCCACCCCAGGAAUGGCUAGAAAGGCAGCCUCGGCUUUCUUGGAAAGACUGUGUAAUUUCAUGCUACUAUCAGGGCUGACAAGGAGGCAACCCCUAGCCCUGGACCCUUCAGCUAAGUUCAACUCCAGGUCAAGUCAGGGGCCCCCAGCAGCUCAGGGGCACAGGAUCCACAAGGAAGAAAUUCCAGGAUGUUGCCAGAAGCUAACAACAGUUCCCAGCUGUUCCCAGUCGCCUCUUGCCAUUGAAGUAGUUUGGAGUGGGGGUCUUCACACAGACACAGCAGAAGGAAGGUCAAAUGAAUGACUGUGCCUCUGGGCCAGGGUGGAGGACAGGCCAGUGAGAACAGAAGCCUCUUUGUUAUUGGCAGCUCCUGCACAUGGCCCCCUAGACCCUUGACGGAGACCUCCCUCUCCCCCCAGAUCUUGGGGACCUUGACAUCGGUGGUAUUUAUGCAGCUCUCCUCAUGUCAUCGUGGUAAAACUGCUGCUUGCGGCUUGCCUACGGCCUGGAGCCUCGCUCUGCAAUUCCUUUUGGAGCACAUGCUGUGAAACUCUCUUAUUAAAAGGUAGUUCCAGAACUGAUCUCCCUUGAGUGGAACAAAAACAACAUCUAUCUUAGAAUUGAUUUUGUGCGGAAUGCCUGCUCCCGCCUCCCCACACCUCCCCACCCACCCCCAUUCCCCCAACCCCACUCUUUGUCUGGCAAGCUCCUGCUCAUCAUUCAGGUCCCAGUUUUGAUGUCCCCACUCAGAAAUGCCUCCCCUGCCCACCUUUCACAAACCAAAUUAUGCCCCUCCUCUUAACACAUUCAUCCAUUUUGCCUGGUUUUUUUUCCUUCCUAGAACUCACUACAGCUUGUACUUGUGCAUGUGUGUGUCUGUGCAGUGAUUAUGUCUGCAACUAGUACUUCAAUCUCCUGAUGGUAGAAGCUAUGUUUGUUUUUUCAUCACCAAGAACCCGCACACCGGCCUAGUACACUGCAAAUGAUCAACAAAUAGUUGUUUUUUUUAAAAAAUGAAUAGAUACAUGAAUGAAUGAAUGAAUGAAUGAAUGAUUUAAUAUAGAAGAGUAUUAUCUUCAGAAUCCUAGAAGAGAUAUUUUACAUUUAUUAAGAGUUAUGAAGCCCUUAAUACAUGGUAUCUUAACUGUUUCUUUAUUUUUAUGUAAAAAAUAUAUAUAAAUGAAGAUGAAGAAGAUACUUGGUCCCCAAGGAGUUCACAGGCUACUAGGGGGGCCGGACAUGUAAUUUGUCAAUUCCAAAUGCUGUGUUCUCAUACAUCCUCACCUGUGGGGUAAGCAUUAUGAUUUGCAUUUGACAAGGAAACAUUAAGAUGCUCAGAAACAUUAAGUUUUUUGCUCAAACCACAGAGCUAGUGAGUGCCAGACCUAGAAGCCAGGUCUCCUGAAUCCUGGGACAAAAGGUGUUCCACCAGCUGUCCUCCUGCCUUCUGGACUUGGCCUGCUUUUCAAUUCUUGCAUUUGAAAGCAGACAGGUCCAGAAUUCUGGGAAAACACACUAUUCACCAGGAGUGACUCUGGCAGGACCAGGAGGUGGUCUUGCUUCAGGAGUCUGACACCCUUCUCCCUGUUCCAAGCUAGGUACUAACUCAUUCUGAGAGGGAAGCUUGGGCGACAGCUGUGAAUGCCCAUUCUCACCCCCACUGAGCUGGUUUUCACAUCUUUCCUGGGUCAAGGGAUUUUAGAGGGCUUGUGCUGAAGAGGUUUCCUUUGAAUGUCAGCAACCAUCUGAGGGGAGAAUGUUGGCCAUUAGCCAAUGACUCCAGGUCUACUCUACUUGGUUAUGUCAACACUCCAAAGAGAAGAUAAGUUCUGGAUGGAUGCAGUGGCUCACGCUUAUAAUUCCAGCACUUUGGGAGGCUGAGGUGGGUGUGGGUGUUCAAGACCAGCCUGGGCAACAUGACAAAACCCUGUCUCUACAAAACACACACACACAAAAAUUAGCUGGGCACAGUGGUACAUGCCUGUAGUCCCAGCUACUGGGGAGGCUGAGAUGGGAGGAUCACUUGAGCCAGGGAGGCAGAGGUUGCAGUGAACAGAGAUCACACUACUGCACUCCAGCCUGGGUGAUAGAGUAAGAUCCUGUCUCAGAAAAAAAAAAAAAAUGUUCUGACUUAGAAACUGCUCCCCCAAGAGCCAACUUGAUGAGCACCUAUGAACAAGUUUUCUAUACUGCAAAGCACAAACCUUUGAACUCACAAAACCAUGUUAUUUGGGGCAAGUUACUCAAAUUCUUUGAACCUUACCUUCCUAAUCUGAAAAAUAAAUUCUUAUGAUACUUGUGAAGAUUGAAUUUGAUGAAUCAUAUACCACCUUGUAUCAUGUGAUAGCUCUCACCAUCAUCCUCUGGUUUUUUAACCUUCAUUUUCCUUCUCUAUUUCUUACUCCAUCUUUCUCUUGGUCCUUAUCUCAUUCUGUUAUUUUUUGGACAUUUCUCAUAUUGUGAAGGUCCUUUAGGUUCAGAUCAUCUCCUCUGGAGAGUAACUUCCCACCUCCCUGUGGUCAGCAUGCAGGAGAGUCCAAAAUAAAGCACAAUUAGAAUUUCCUGGAAGAGUUGAGAACAGGGAAUUUUUAACUCAUUCUUGACAAUAGAGUGGAAGGUUUCUGGUUUGAGGAACAUGCAAGGGCUCUCUGAGCAUAGUGUUGGGGUGCCCCAUUUACGUAGUGGAUCUUGAGAGAGGAGUUGGGCCAUGGAGCUGGGCAGAGGAAGAUGAGACUCACAAAGUUUCACAGGGCCAUCAUGGAAGCUCUAGCUAGCACCUGGAACGCCCUCCCAUGGCUAUGGAAGGAGUUUAAGCACAAGAGUGUAAUAUCACAUCUGUGUUUGAUGAAGAUGAAUCCCAUGCUGGCCAUGGGAAGGAUGGAUAGGAGACAAGAGAAGCUAGAGACAAAGACACCAAUUAGGAGGUUUUUAAAGUGAACGCUCACAACCAUGGCAAGGCAGAGAGCCCAGACUAAGGCAAAAGACAAUGAGGAUAGACAUAUGGCAAUGGAUCAAGAGUCACACCUAAAACACCAACACCACACACGGGACUUGGCAAUUGAUUUAUGCAGGAGGCAAUAGAAAGAGCAUAAAAAUGCUCCUGAGGUUUCCAGCUCGGGAGGUGAGGUUUCCAGUGUCCCUGUUAAGAGAGAUUUGGAAUGCCAGAGACACACCCACAACAGGAAGAAACAAUGAAUUUAGUUGGUGACAUGUAGUGUUUGAGUUAUUUAUGGGACAUCCCGGUGAUGUCCAAAAGGUGUGCAGCAAGUGGAUCUGGAGUGGAACCGAGACAUCUGGAUUGGAGAUAUAGUUUGGGGGCCAUUUGGCAUGAAGGUAAUAAGAUAAUAUAUGAGUGAAUAAGAACACCAUUAGGAUAGAGUCCCUACUUUAAAAAAUAAAAGUAAAAAAGCUGAAACACUGGCAUUUAGAGAAAGACAAGCCAGCCAAGGAAAGCAGGAAGGAAUGGACAGAGAGAGGGGAGAAGAAGUAGGAAAGACUGAGAGGGCCGGGUGAGGGUAAAAGGAGGAGAGAAAGCAGCCAUAUGGCAGUUAUGCAAAUUCAUAUGUUGAAAUUCAUAGAACUGUACACCAAAAUAAGUCAAAUUUUUGUACAAUAGUUUUAAAAAAUAAAAUUAAUAAAAUACCAAAAGAAGUUCUUUAUGAACCUACUUACCAGUGGAGGAAACCACUGUCAAUACUUUGGCAGAUUUCCUUCUAGUCUUUUCUAUUAUACACUUUUUGAAAUGAAAUUAUAUGUGCUAUUAACAAGUACAAAUGUCACCUUUCUCAAUUUAUAUUAAAUUGUUCUAAAAUUCCAUGUGUUAAAUAAAUAAAGUGGUACAAAUACGGGAAAGGAAGGAAGGAAGGAAGGAACGAAGGAAGGAAGGAAGGAAAGAAGGAUUGGAGGGAGGUGGGAGAGAGGGAGGGAGGGAAGGAAGGAGGAAGGGAGGGAAGGAGGGAGGGAGGGAGGGAGGGAAGGAAGGAGAAAAGGAUCAUAGAUAUUGCUGAACCCAGCAGAAGGGAAAGGUAUGAGAAGAGGAUAUGGUUUCUUUCAAAUUCAUUUUAAAUCUUACCUAAAGCUUGGACAUAUACAUCCAUUUAGAAAGCUCUUGCCCCAUUUUUCAAAGAAGGAACAAGAAAAAACUUACUUUUUUUUUUGGAAAGGGAGGUGUGGCACUUCAAGUCACUGUCUAAAACUCUCUUACAUGUAGUAACAUCUCCAUCUGCAGGACAUGAACGAUAUCACCGUACAACUUAAGGAGGUUGUUCAACUUGGCAAACGUACAACCCCAAUAAACAUGGAGGUUUGAGGAGCCUCUCAGUCCAGAACCAUGUAGCAACAUAACCCAGCAGUACCUUCACCCUGUCCCCUCCCCUGUUAAAUACUCCACUAUCCCUGUAGCUAUAAAGACUUAAAUAUUAAACAUACUACCAGGGAAUAUUGUGUUCUGAACCCCAUUGAAAGCAAGGGGGACUGGAUGUGAUUUAAGCCAUCUUAUGGCAAAAGGGCAAGUUGGUAUAUAACAAGCGUUGGUAGAAAAUGAAGGACUCCCAAGUUCCAGGCCCAGCCCUGCCGCUAGAAUGGUGAGGCCCAGAGAUCCUCCUAAUGAGAUCGUGGGCUUUGCCAGCAUUUAGAUGACGAUGUGGGGUUUACAGCAUGGCAGUGCUCCCCCACGUAGCCUUCAUAGUAAUUAUGUUGAUUUGUUUUUCACAUCCAACUCCCUGUCUCAUCUCCCAGUUUGUCAAUAACAAAGUAAUAAAAGAGGUGUGAUUAAUUAGCAUCUUCAAAGUUUGCAUCUUUCCAGAGAGUGUCUGCUCAAUAAAGAAGGCAUGGCCAGGCAAAGCUCAUUAGGGAAGAGGAGGGGACCUCUCAGACCUCACUGGAAGAAGCUGCUUGGAGUGACCCCAUUUUCCCUUACCCCCUCCUGUGACCCCACAUAUGUGACCACAAACCUGCUUACACAGAGAUGAAGCCCCAUAGCAUUUCCACUUUUGGGUCUUUGACUGCGGCUCUCUCAUCACAUGAAUCACCCACUGACAUUCUCUCUCAUCAUAUGAAUCACCCACUGACAGCCCCAGGAACAGAUGAGGCUGUGAGAUUCUCAAAGAGAAAAAUGAGCUUAGAGCCCCAAACUCCUGGGGUUGGUCCCAUGUAAGCACGACACUAACAUGGUUCUUGGGCCCAAACUGCAGCAAAGUAAACAGAUGUGGGCUUAACAGCCUCCAGGAAUGGAGGAGGCAAGGGGAGAAGGGAUAAGCAGUUGUCAAAGGCAAGGAUGAGAGACAGAAGAGAGACAAGGGACCCUUGCUACCCACUGAUUUAAAGGGCCAGGUCCCAAACCCUAAGCACCCAUCAUGAGUCAUGAUCAUAAUCUCACACUAUCCUUAGAAAUGGACAGUAGCACCUGAACCACCAUUGAUGAAAGCCCAGAAAAGCUGGAUCCUUUAAAUAAUCAGCUCUUUGGGGUAAGGAAUGGAGGUUGCCAUGUAUUUUUAAUGGAUAGAGUAUACAACUGUUGAGUGCCUACUGUGUACUCUUGCUGCCAACACUUGAAAUGAAUAUUUUUAUCUUAUAUCUUAUACCUACAUGAAGGGAGAACUUCACACUAGACGCUCUAUUCACCAAAAUACUCCAUAGAAAUUUUUAGUAAAAGAGAAAAAGUUUAAUUUCCUGCUUACUAGAGAGGUAAGCAAAAUGCCAGUUCGUUUAAUUCUUGGGAUCGAUCAUCUUUCUAACAUACCUAAUUCCUUUUCUCUCAAUAAAUUACUACACUCAGAUAAACUAACAAGUUGUUGAUUUUUGAUGUUCUAUGCUUUCAUUAAUAUAGUGUGUUUAUUUAGUUCCUAGAAGUGCUUGGACACUAUAUAGACAUACACAGCAAGUACAAUGGUCAGUAAAACAUUCCAGCUCUGUCCUUCUGGAGCUCAGAGCCAUGGAAGGUGGCUUCAUGGUGAAGGCCACAGGCUCUGGGACCAGACAGCCAGGGUUCCCAUCUGCUACUUCCUAAGUGGGUGAUCUAGGGCAUGAUGCUUAAUCUCUCUAUGCCAUAUUUUUCUUAAGUGGAAAAUGCACAUAAUAACAGUACUGAGCUCAUGCAGUAUGGUAUGUAUUAACUGUGGUUGUGGUAAAGAGCCUAAAACUGUGCCAGAUACAUGGUGAGCAUUUAAUAAGUGUAAAUGAUUAUCAUCAGGUAGCAAGCUCUGAGGGUCGUUCCAAAUUAAUAACUGUACUGAACAGUGCAGAAUAUCCAGUUUAAAAGGGGAGGAGAUUACCCUGGAGAGUGCACUGACUCAAAAUUCUCCUUGCAUGUUGGGGUAGGCUGAACAAUGCCCCUCCAAAAGAUGGUCAUGUCUUAAUCCUUGGAAUCUGUGAAUGUCACUUUAUAUAUAGACAAAAAAACUUUGCAGAUAUGGUUAAGGAUCAUGAGGAGACUGUCCUGAGUUAGCCAGGUGGAUCUAAUAUAACCACAAGGGCCGUUAUAAGAGGCAAACAGAUCAGAGUCAGAAAUAGAAGAAGGGAUGUGACAGUGGAAGCAGAGGGAGAAAAGGUCAUGUGAUGUGGGGCUAUGAGCCAAGGGAUGUGGGUGGCCUCUAGAAGCUGGAAAAGGCAAGGAAGCCUACAGAUGGAAUUCAGCCCUAUAGAUACCUUGAUUUUAGCCCCUCAAGAUUCAUUUCAAACUUCUGAUCUCCAGAACUAUAAGAGAAGACAUUCAUGUUGUUAUAAGCCACAAAGUUUGCGGCAGCAAAUACAAAUGCAAAGGUGAAUAAGAAAGUAAUCUUAUUUCCUUUUACUAUAUCUCUUUCGAAAGGCAGCAUGAUAGAGUUGAAAGAGCACGGGGCCUGGUGUUUGAAAUCUGUUUCUACAAAUUACUUUGUGUCUUUAGAUAAGUUACUUAACCUCUCUGAGCCUCAUUGCUCCAUCUUGAAAAGGAAGAUAAACAUACUCAUUUCAAGUGAUGGCUGCAAAAGUAGGCCCUCAAUAGUCGUAUCACUCUUACCAUUAAAAAUAUUUGGCUCUCUCCACUCCUUCCCCCAAAGAGCUGACUAUUUAAGAAUCCAGCUUUUCUGAGCUUUGUUUAAUGGUGGUCACAGGCCACUGUCCAUUUAUAAGGAUUUGACUUCUCAUUGUUAUUUGAGUUUGGGACUGAAAGUUUAGAUCUAUAUUAUCAUUUGCCAGAGAUAAUAUUUUAAUUUGUUACUAUGUCCUGCUGAUACCUUAGCUCUACCCAACCUCGCUUCCCACCCCCUACUCAUGAGAAUCAAAGACCCCCUGGAUGACCACCUGUUCUCUGUUUUAAGCCACCUUGUCAUCAGCACACCAGUUCACCAUCUCCUCACUGGUAAAUUAGAGAAAUAUGUUCAGAAUCUUUCUUUCGUUGGCGACAGGGUCUUGCUCUGUUUCCCAGGCUGGAGUGCAGUGGCAUGGCCACAGGUCACUGCAGCCUCAAACUCCCCAGCUUAAGUGAUCCUCCCGUCUCAGCCUCCUGAGUAACUGGGACCACAGGUGUCUGCCACCAAGCCCAGCUAAUUUUUUAAUUUUUUGUAGGGACAGCAUCUCACUACAUUGCCAGGGCUGGUCUCAAACUCCUGGGCUCAAGCGAUCCACCUGCCUCAGCCUCUCAAAGUGCUAAGAUUAUAGGCAUGAGCCACCAUGCCCGGCCAACUUCAGAAUCUUAACCUGCCCUUGGAGAUAUUAUGAUGAUGACCAGUGUGAUGGCUACUGGGCACUGCACUAGAGCCUGUGUAAGAGGAUGGAGUCUUUUUAUCCCUCCCAUUCUUUUCCUGGGAGGGUGUUUCCAGGCUUAAUAUAAUAACAUGCUAGAAUUGAGUAACAGGAGGUAAUCAAUAUUAGAAAAAAAAAAACAUAAAAUUUCUUGUGUAGAUGUUCCACUCUUAGUCAAGGGAAAGUCUUCUCCUACAAUGCCCCUACCCCUUCUCCCUCUUUGCCCCCGACUCUAGCUGCAAAAUGGCCUUACAUGAGCUAAGGCUCUCAUCCUAGCCUAAAUGUCAAGGAAGAACGAGAUGGAACCAGUGGACCCAGAGGAUGAACUCUUAGUGGGGAGUGGGCAGAGGCAGAGAGGUGCGUCAUGGGGCUGCUGGGGGAGAAAGAAUAAAAGAGAUAGCUCAUGGCAGAGGGCCUCAGGGAUGUCCAUACCUGCGUGAGAAGGAGAGCUCCCUCUCACCCUUCCUCUAAACUCUGUCUCCGUGCAUGGUCAUGAAAUAGUAUGGUUUUCAUCCUGGUAAUGAAGUGCACUUUUCCAUCUUUGCAAAGGUUACCGGCAAAGCAAAGACACUGCCAGCAUGCACAUCAUUUCAUUUAAUCCUCACAAGAACCUGUGGAGAGGGUUAUGUCAUUCUCAUAACGUAGUUGAGGAUUGAUAUCCAAGGACCACUGUGUCCAAGAUAACCAGCUAGUCAGAGCCAGGAUCCACACCAGCUCAGCCCAGCUCCAAAGCUCAUGCUCUUUCCAGGCCUGGCCCCACCACUGCUGCUGAACCUUGCAGCCCUUCCCAUACCACCCCGCCCCCACCCAAUAACAUGGCCUCCAGAGCUGAAAGCAUUUCCAGGGCCUCUUCCAACAAGGCCCGAGAAACCCUGGGUGGUCUAGAAACCUUGAAGUGAACAUUGAGUUUUAUCCUGGAACAAAUGAAGAGCUGGAAGUAAAAGGUCCUUCACAAACUGGAAACAGCUGGGCCCAGCUGAGGAGUAAGAUCAAAAUCACCUCUCCAUGCUGCACCAUGCUUCAGGAAGAGGCGUAUCCAUCACAGUGUCUUGGAAGUAGGCCAGGGGUGUCUGCUGAGAAAGGGUGCCGCUGGUCUGCACAAGUGUGGGGAAGGGGGGACUCAAGGAUCCUGGGCAGCUGCUCAGGGGAAGCUAUGUUUAACAGCAAGGACUGCAGAAAUGCCCCUGGAGCUCUGUGGACAGCUGGAAACAAGGCCAAUUUGCAAACAUCCAGGGUCUUACAAUCAUGCCAGAAGGGGAAGCAAACACGUCCUUCUUCCUUCUUCACAUGGCAGCAGCAGGAGAAGUGCCAAGCAUCAGAUCUCAUGAGAAUUCACUCACUAUCACGAGAACAGCAUGAAGGUAACCACCCCCAGGAUUAAAUUCCCUCCGACUGGGUACCUCCCAUGACACAUGGGGAUUAUGGGAACUAUAAUUCAAGAUGAGAUUUGGGUGGGGACACAACCAAACCAUAUCAAGGGCUGAAGAUCAGAGAUGGUUAAUUGGAUGCAGAGAAAUGUGGAGUGAAGGGGAGGAGUAGAAGAGAGGGGGCAUAGAAUUUGUCUUCAAAUAUAGGAAGGGCUAUUUUGCCAUCUUCAUCUUUGUGUCCCCAGGUCCUGGUAGGAUGCUUGGCACUAAGGUCAUGCUUAAUAAAUUUUAUUGGUUCUACUUGGUUGAAAAGUCAAUCAGGUAAUCAAUCAAUCAAUAUAUUCAUAUGGAUGAACAGUGACCUGAUAUUGGAAAUUAUAGGGAAAUAAUAGUAAUUAACAUGAAGAAAUUUUAAAAAUAAAUUUAAAGAUAGGAAGGGAAUUCCCUUGCCCUUGGAAUGAUGACUCUUAGUGUCUGUUUAGGAAGGUGAUGCUGCUGGAGGAGGGGCUCAGGUGUAGAGGAAUUGAAACUGGUUGAUGUGGAUGCAUUCCAGAUUUUCUAUUUCUCAGACCAAUACAAAUUUUCUCCACCAAAAAAAGUCAGAGGAAUUACAGAGGGUUGCCAACUUUUUGCCAACAAUGGAUAUUACCACUAAUUCAAUUAUCAUCCACUAUUGCAGUCAUUCUGCAAAAACAAAAAUCAAAAAAAGCACAUUUUAACAGAAGGGAAGAAAAGGAAAAACAUGAUCUCAGAAGAAAGGAAAUGCUUUAAAGUCAUAACCUUGGCUUUCCAAACAUCACUCUCUUUUCCUCACUUUUCUGUAAAGCAGUGAAAAUAUCGCCGAGCAGCACCAGUUUGAGGGUCUGUAUUUGAGAACUACUGAAUUCAAUGACUUUAAAGUCCUUUCCUGGCCCAGAUACUUGCCAUUUCCAGUCCAAAAAUGGAGCCAGGCACUUAGCAGGCAUUCAGUGUAUAUCUGUGGAAGGAAUGAUGGAAUCACUUGCAGGCAUUUGAUUUUAGGCAACAUUCCUCAUCCUCAAGAUGGAAACCCCAUGCUACAAGCACAGAAGCAACUCCCCAAAAAGUUCAUGGAGGAAAAAUAUCAGUUAAAACUCAUGAGGACAGAAGAGAGGCUACAUUGCUCUGCUCCAGCUGACCUUUGGAAAGCCAUAUUCUCUCUACCUCCUGUAUUUCCCCCACCAUUAAUGAACAUCCUACUAUUUCCAUAGUAUUCAGCUGUCAAUAGGGCACUUGUGUGCAUUACACCAUUUGUUCAU